GCAGUGCAGGGCGGUGAAGGAAUACACCCCUGUCCUAGGGCUGACACUCUAGGGGGGUGGACAGACAGACCCAGCAAACACUGCCUACAGGGCAUUGGGGGGCCGCGCAUGCGCGCUGUGGAAGCACUACCACCAGAUGGCUGGGGCCGGCUGGGGACAGCAGGAGCGCUGCAUGCAAGUUUAACUGGGUGAUUUCACUGAGGAGGGGACUUGUGAACCAAGCUCCGAAGCAGGCAAGAAGGAGUCACGUGGCACGUGGCGGAAGAGCAUUCCAGGCAGAGGGAACAGCCAGUGCAAAGCAUUGAGCUUUGUUAUCUGAAACGAGUACCACGAAAGGUGGAGUAACUGAGGCACUGAGCAAUGAAGUGGCUUGCCCACGUCGGCAAGAGGCAGCUGGUGGAUUUGAACCCAGGACUGCUUUCCGUGGAUCCAGAGACAGCCAGCGAGAGAGGGAGCACA
Ailuropoda melanoleuca (giant panda) is the source of this 459-nucleotide long non-coding RNA. RefSeq lists it as uncharacterized. The transcript is spliced from 3 exons. Lineage: Eukaryota; Metazoa; Chordata; Mammalia; Carnivora; Ursidae. The record is from RefSeq and is a predicted model, not a curated record.